This 253-nucleotide ribosomal RNA is filed under the name uncultured bacterium. RNAcentral describes it as "partial 16S ribosomal RNA". It matches the Rfam family "Bacterial small subunit ribosomal RNA", at positions 524 to 776 of the family's 1533-position model. The record is from RNAcentral.
UACGGAGGGGACUAGCGUUGUUCGGAAUUACUGGGCGUAAAGCGCACGUAGGCGGAUUUGUAAGUCAGGGGUGAAAUCCCGGGGCUCAACCUCGGAACUGCCUUUGAUACUGCAAAUCUCGAGUCCGGAAGAGGUGAGUGGAAUUCCUAGUGUAGAGGUGAAAUUCGUAGAUAUUAGGAAGAACACCAGUGGCGAAGGCGGCUCACUGGUCCGGUACUGACGCUGAGGAACGAAAGCUAGGGGAGCAAACAGG